UCCUGAUUGAAUGAGCUGUGCCCUGAAGGAUUGCAGGGCGCUGAACGGCUUUUCCUUGUCGACCAGCCAAUGCGGUCUGGGGGGGCAGAGUUAUUGAGAGGUGAAGCCCAGUGAAGAAAGGAGAUGAAAACUCUGGGUCUGGACCAGAUGAGGAAAGAAAUCAAGUAAUUGGACAGGGUGGUAUAUCAUGCAAUUUGAUAUACUUCGAGUUGUUAUUUUUGAAUUAUGCAAAUGUGCUACAGAAAGGUUUACAGAAGGAGAACAACUUCCUUUCACUGGCAGAGUUAAGCAGAAUUGGCUAAACAGUGAAGUCUCCAGAAAGACGGUGUGGCAAGGCAGCUGGGAGUUAAAACAACAGCUACAUUUUUUACUACAGAAGAGGUACUAUGAGGAAAUGGAAAUUUAGAAAGCAAAAGCCUAUGUUUUCAAAGGACAACAUGCAGAAGCAUCUUUGUGCACAGUUUCUGCCUUGCUCAGGGAAACUGAAGUCUUGUGAAGUACCUGCUAAAGCUUCAACACUCUGAAGGUGCGGUGGGAUGAAAGUGUGGCGGACCUGAGCACUACAGCAUCUGAAAUGAAAAGAUGGUGUUCCCUGCUUUGGCUGUUUUUCUGUUUUUACCCUCUUUUCCACACUUCCAACCAAAGAUGUGGACAUCUAUUUCAGGCAUUCAUUUCUAGUUAUUUUAUUAUUAAAAAGACACCGAAUGCCGUG
Columba livia (rock pigeon) is the source of this 712-nucleotide long non-coding RNA. RefSeq lists it as uncharacterized. The transcript has 2 exons. The record is from RefSeq and is a predicted model, not a curated record. Lineage: Eukaryota; Metazoa; Chordata; Aves; Columbiformes; Columbidae.